UACGAAGGGGGCUAGCGUUGCUCGGAAUUACUGGGCGUAAAGGGAGCGUAGGCGGACAUUUAAGUCAGGGGUGAAAUCCCAGAGCUCAACUCUGGAACUGCCUUUGAUACUGGGUGUCUUGAGUGUGAUAGAGGUAAGUGGAACUCCGAGUGUAGAGGUGAAAUUCGUAGAUAUUCGGAAGAACACCAGUGGCGAAGGCGACAUACUGGAUCAUUACUGACGCUGAGGCUCGAAAGCGUGGGGAGCAAACAGG
This 253-nucleotide ribosomal RNA is filed under the name uncultured bacterium. Its description in RNAcentral is "partial 16S ribosomal RNA". It matches the Rfam family "Bacterial small subunit ribosomal RNA", at positions 524 to 776 of the family's 1533-position model. The record is from RNAcentral.